UGUGAUGUGUGUACUUGUGAUUAUUGUUAUUGAGGUCUGCGAGCCUCCAUUAUAUUUCUCGUUUAUUGUCGGGCCUGCGUGCCUAUGAUUAAGUUGUAAUCACAUGAGGAGGUGCAGCGGGAGCGUGGAUGCGAUAGCGGGACCCACGAGACGGACGAUCGUGAUGCAUGGAGAUGCAUCAAGAUGUCGACGGAACCGACGAGGACGAGAUGGACGAUCAUAGGGCAUGGAGAUGCACCGUUGCAC
RNAcentral lists this long non-coding RNA (246 nucleotides) under Musa acuminata (dwarf banana). Its description in RNAcentral is "long non-coding RNA (MACU_LNC004530)". The record is from RNAcentral. Lineage: Eukaryota; Viridiplantae; Streptophyta; Magnoliopsida; Zingiberales; Musaceae.